GUUUUUUCUUAGACCAUCUAGCUAAAGGUUUGUCAGUUUUGUUGAUCCUUUCAAAAAUAGAUAAUUUGGUUUAGUUUAUUUUCUCUAUUGUUUUUCUGUUCCACUCAUUUCUCCAUUUUCACAUUUAUUAUUUCCUUUUUUCUGCUAAGUUUGGGUUUCGUUUACUUUUCUUUUUCUAGUUCCUUAAACUAUAAAGUUAGGUUAUUGGAGAUCUUUCUUCUUUCUUUAUGGAGGAAUUUAUAGCUAUGGUUUUCUCUAUGAGUGUUGUUUUCUUUGCAUCCCCUAAGUUUGCUACGUUUUCAUUUUCUUUCCAUCUCAAAGUAUUUUCUAAUUUUCCUUGUGAUGACUUCUUUGACUCAUUAAUUUUAUUUAUUUGUUUGCUGAGUAAGAUUCACCCUGAGCUAACGUCUGUGCCAAUCUUCCUCUAUUUUUUAGUAUGUGGGCCGCGAGCACAGCAUGGCUGCUAGCAGAAUGGUGUAGGUCUGCACCCAGCAACUGAACCUGGGCCACCGAAGCAGAGUGUGCCAAACUUAACCACUAGGCCUCUGGGGCUGGCCCCUCAUUAGUUUUUAAAGAGUGUGUUGUUUAAUUUCCACGUAUUUGUUAAUUUUUGAGUUUCCUAUUAUUGAUUUCUACCCUCAUUCCAUUUUGGUUGGAGAAGAUACUUUGUAUGAUUUUAAUUCAAAAAAACUUCAUGAGACUGCUUUAUGGCCUAACAUGUGAUCUAUCCUGGAGAAUAUUCCAUGUGCUCUUGAGAAGAACGUGUAUUCUGCUGUUGUUGGGUGGAAUUUUCUAUAUGAGUUUGUUAGGUCUAGUUGGUUUUAUAGUAUUGUUCAACGGCUUCCUGUCACACUGUCUUGAAUCAGUUUCACUGGACACAGAGCCCAAUUUGGGAAUCCCUGUGCAGGUCACUUGUCGAGGAAGAACUCCAUGGCAGGCAGCUGGGAAGCUGUAUAGAGAUGUCCUCAGAGUCGUUCCACCAGCUGCUAAGGGAGUUAGGGUAUUUAUCUCCCACUGCUGAGGCUGCCCCUCAGGGGAUUCACUCUGCAUCCUUUCUGGCCUGUCCCUGUGUGCUGCUGAGCAGAGCCCUGAGGUCAGAGAUAGUGCUC
RNAcentral lists this long non-coding RNA (1109 nucleotides) under Equus asinus (donkey). RNAcentral's name for it is "lncRNA (ENSEASG00005031793.1)". Lineage: Eukaryota; Metazoa; Chordata; Mammalia; Perissodactyla; Equidae. The record is from RNAcentral.